This 406-nucleotide ribosomal RNA is filed under the name uncultured bacterium. RNAcentral describes it as "partial 16S ribosomal RNA". It matches the Rfam family "Bacterial small subunit ribosomal RNA", at positions 29 to 526 of the family's 1533-position model. The record is from RNAcentral.
AUUGAACGCUGGCGGCAGGCCUAACACAUGCAAGUCGAACGAGUGGCGGACGGGUGAGAAAUGUCUGGGAAACUGCCUGUGGGAUGGGGAUAACUACUGGAAACGGUAGCCAAAACCGCAUACCAUCGGAUGUGCCCAGAUGGGAUGAGCUAGUAGGUGGGGUAAAGGCUCACCUAGGCGACGAUCCCUAGCUGGUCGGAGAGGAUGACCAGCCACACUGGAACUGAGACACGGCCCAGACUCCUACGGGAGGCAGCAGUGGGGAAUAUUGCACAAUGGGCGAAAGCCUGAUGCAGCCAUGCCGCGUGUAUGAAGAAGGCCUUCGGGUUGUAAAGUACUUUCAGCGGGGAGGCGUUACCCGCAGAAGAAGCACCGGCUAACUACGUGCCAGCAGCCGCGGUAAUAC